This is a small nucleolar RNA of Bos indicus x Bos taurus (hybrid cattle), 82 nucleotides long. Ensembl annotates it as small nucleolar RNA, C/D box 72. Its record names the gene SNORD72. NCBI's taxonomy places the organism in Eukaryota, Metazoa, Chordata, Mammalia, Artiodactyla, Bovidae. The record is from Ensembl.
AGCUUAUCGGUGAUGUUCUAAAAAAAUAAAUGUCUGAACUUAUGAAUUCAAUAUUGAUUUCAUCAUCUAACUGAGAUAAGCU